UACGUAGGUGGCAAGCGUUGUCCGGAUUUAUUGGGUUUAAAGGGCGCGUAGGCGGUUUGAUAAGUUAGAGGUGAAAUGUCGGGGCUCAACCCCGAAACUGCCUCUAAUACUGUUGGACUAGAGAAUAGUUGCGGUAGGCGGAAUGUAUGGUGUAGCGGUGAAAUGCUUAGAGAUCAUACAGAACACCGAUUGCGAAGGCAGCUUACCAAACUAUAUCUGACGUUGAGGCACGAAAGCGUGGGUAGCAAACAGG
RNAcentral lists this ribosomal RNA (253 nucleotides) under uncultured bacterium. RNAcentral describes it as "partial 16S ribosomal RNA". It matches the Rfam family "Bacterial small subunit ribosomal RNA", at positions 524 to 776 of the family's 1533-position model. The record is from RNAcentral.